GCAGCACUUGAGGGAGGAAAAACUAGAAGUUCUGUUUUGGACAGGUUGAGUUUAAGGAAGUGAGCAGCCAUCCAGUUGGAAAUAGCAGAGAGGCAGUCAGAAACACGAGUCAAGGUGGGCGGAGAGAGAUCAGGGGAGGACAGGUAGAUUUGCGUGUCAUCUGCAUAUAAAUGGUAUUGGACGCCAAAAGAGCUGAUGAGUUUACCAAGGGAGGCAGUAUAGAUAGAGAACAGUAGGGGGCCGAGGACAGAACCUUGGGGGAUGCCGACAGGGAG
This 275-nucleotide long non-coding RNA is filed under the name Pelobates cultripes (western spadefoot toad). The record is from RNAcentral. Lineage: Eukaryota; Metazoa; Chordata; Amphibia; Anura; Pelobatidae.